This is a long non-coding RNA of Corvus hawaiiensis (hawaiian crow), 414 nucleotides long. RefSeq lists it as uncharacterized. The transcript is spliced from 3 exons. Lineage: Eukaryota; Metazoa; Chordata; Aves; Passeriformes; Corvidae. The record is from RefSeq and is a predicted model, not a curated record.
UUAAAAGCGUUACAGUUCAGUUCUUGCAGUCUUCACAGGUCCUUGUUGCUAUUAAUAGAUCAUCAAUGUACCGCAAGAGCGUACCUUCCCUUCCCCAAGCGGCGGCAUCCAGGCUUCCAGUUCCUCGGCUAAUCGAUCUCCAAAUAUCACGGGUCUAUUUUUGAAUCCUUGUGGCAAUACAGUCCACGACUAAUUUUGGGAGGCCCAGUCUUCCUCGGGACUUUCAACCCACCCUCAGGGACUCGAACCCCGGACCUGCAGGCGCAGCGAAAAGCAGAAGAAUUCUCGGUAAGAUCAUCUCGGAGAGCUCAAGCGCCGGCCAAAACCUCGCCACGUUCCGCCGUGACGCCACCGAGGGAGGAAAGAGCGUGAGGUGCAAAGCCCCGAGCGGAGCGGUAGGAAACGGGAGGACCG